Molecule: non-coding RNA, 1335 nt
Organism: Zonotrichia albicollis (white-throated sparrow)
Lineage: Eukaryota; Metazoa; Chordata; Aves; Passeriformes; Passerellidae
Source: RefSeq, a predicted model, not a curated record
GCAAACAGAGUUUGCAGAGGGAUUUCUUGCAUAAUUUAUCUGCAAAUCAAGUGGCACCAAGGCGAUGCAGGAACUCUUGGAUGAAGCCUUUCUUCCACCUUGAAGGUUUGGCUUUGUCAGCCAGACCCCCCCUGGAGGGCUCAGGACUUUGCUCCCGUCUCCACAGCCAGCCUUCAUCCUCAGCCUCAUCCUCCAGCCCCAUCUGCAGCCUCCUUGGGCCGUGCCUCAGCAGCGGGGCCGGAGCAGCUGCGAGCACAGCAUGCAGGGCUGGGGCCAGCAGCAGAGCUUGCCAAGAGAUCCCAGGCAGGGCUGCUGGUGGGGAGCUGCCCUUUGCUUCGUGCCUCCCUUCCGGCUGCCUGGCGAGCUCAGCCAAACACCAUUAAAGGUUUAUCCACACGCUGAUUGACUUAUCUGCCUCCAGAGCUGGAGCCAGAGCGGUCUCCAAGGGGAGAGGUCCUGGAUGUGGCACCAUCUUCCAAAGCAACAGAGGAUGAGCAGGUGCUCCGAGAGAUCGGCCAGGACACUCUGGGAAGAAGUGGUGGUGCCUUCAAAGUGGAGAAUGGGUUGAUAAGGGGGGAGUGGGGAGAGACAUUUUAGCUCCUACUGGGUAAUUAUCAGUUGUGGAAAGCUGAGGAGUUAGCUGGUGGGAGGGAAAUUACAACCUAUCAUAAAACCAAUCUCUCCCAAAUCCAGUCUCUUCAGCGCUCAGGAGUGUUUGGUCUGGUUCCAAGGCUUCUGGAGGAGUUUGAGAGGUCCCUCGACAGAGCUGCAGCCCUCUGCAAGGCAGACACCACAUCCCCUUUGUUCGGAGGAGCGCGGAAAUGAGAACGCCUCAGCAGAGAAAGGCAGAUCAACGCCAAGCAUCUGGAAGCUGAAGACGGAGAAAACCCAAUUAAAAAUCAGGCAAUGCUGCGAGUGGAGCAAGCCAUGAAGUGAUGGAUUAUUCAUUCCACGAUGUCUUCAACUCAAGAGAGGGGCAGAACGAUCGAUCCUCCCAGCACUUCCACACUGCUGGUUGAUGAUGAACGCUCCAUCCAUCCCAACUUUUGGGAGCAUGCACAUUCCACUGCAAGAGCCAGGCCCCGACUUGGCAAACUGCAAAGUUCCCAUGGAUGAUGGAGGACAAUCCACCAGCCCUACUAGGGUGAAGCCACCCUGGGGCAAUGAGCCCCCAGUAAAGCAGAGCUAGAAAAAGAACAAAGUCAACCCAGGCCACCCCAGCUGAAGUAUGUGGGAAACACAAGCUGUAACUGCAGUGGAAGUUUCCCCUGGCCAAAAACAGGAACAGAAUUUGGGCUGAAGUGGGUGGAUUUGCAGAAAAACAAAACAAAACAA